RNAcentral lists this ribosomal RNA (208 nucleotides) under uncultured bacterium. RNAcentral describes it as "partial 16S ribosomal RNA". It matches the Rfam family "Bacterial small subunit ribosomal RNA", at positions 568 to 774 of the family's 1533-position model. The record is from RNAcentral.
CUCGUAGGCGGUUCGUCGCGUCCGGUGUGAAAGUCCAUCGCUUAACGGUGGAUCCGCGCCGGGUACGGGCGGGCUUGAGUGCGGUAGGGGAGACUGGAAUUCCCGGUGUAACGGUGGAAUGUGUACGAUAUCGGGAAGAACACCAAUGGCGAAGGCAGGUCUCUGGGCCGUCACUGACGCUGAGGAGCGAAAGCGUGGGGAGCGAACA